GACGAACGCUGGCGGCGUGCCUAAUACAUGCAAGUUGAGCGCUGAAGGUUGGUACUUGUGCCAACUGGAUGAGCAGCGAACGGGUGAGUAACGCGUGGGUAAUCUGCCUUUGAUCGGGGGACAACAUUUGGAAACGAAUGCUAAUACCGCAUAAAAACUUUAAACACAAGAUUUAAGUUUGAAAGAUGCAAUUGCAUCACUCAAAAAUGAUCCCGCGUUGGAUUAGCUAGGUGGUGAGGUAAAGGCUCACCAAGGCGAUGAUACAUAGGCGACCUGAGAGGGUGAUCGGCCAAAAUGGGAAUGAGAAACGGCCCAAACCCCUACGGGAGGCAGCAGUAGGGAAUCUUCGGCAAUGGACGAAAGGCUGACCGAGCAACGCCGCGUGAGUGAAGAAGGUCUUCGGAUCGGAAAACUCUGUUGGUAGAGAAGAAAGUUGGUGAGAGUGGAAAGCUCAUCAAGUGACGGUAACUACCCAGAAAGGGACGGCUAACUACGUG
This 497-nucleotide ribosomal RNA is filed under the name uncultured bacterium. Its description in RNAcentral is "partial 16S ribosomal RNA". It matches the Rfam family "Bacterial small subunit ribosomal RNA", at positions 28 to 507 of the family's 1533-position model. The record is from RNAcentral.